UCUACGGGUGGCAGCAGUGGGGAAUAUUGGGCAAUGGGCGCAAGCCUGACCCAGCAACGCCGCGUGAAGGAAGAAGGCUUUCGGGUUGUAAACUUCUUUUGUCAGGGAAGAGUAGAAGACGGUACCUGACGAAUAAGCCACGGCUAACUACGUGCCAGCAGCCGCGGUAAUACGUAGGUGGCAAGCGUUGUCCGGAUUUACUGGGUGUCAAGGGCGUGUAGCCGGGUUGACAAGUCAGAUGUGAAAUCCUGUGGCUUAACCGCAGAACUGCAUUUGAAACUGUUGAUCUUGAGUACUGGAGAGGCAGACGGAAUUCCUGGUGUAGCGGUGAAAUGCGUAGAUAUUAGGAGGAACACCAGUGGCGAAGGCGGUCUGCUGGACAGCAACUGACGGUGAGGCGCGAAAGCGUGGGGAGCAAACAGGAUUAGAUACCCCUGUAGUC
This 442-nucleotide ribosomal RNA is filed under the name uncultured bacterium. RNAcentral's name for it is "partial 16S ribosomal RNA". It matches the Rfam family "Bacterial small subunit ribosomal RNA", at positions 338 to 795 of the family's 1533-position model. The record is from RNAcentral.